AUUGAACGCUGGCGGCAUGCCUUACACAUGCAAGUCGAACGGCAGCGGGGACUUCGGUCCGCCGGCGAGUGGCGAACGGGUGAGUAAUGUAUCGGAACGUACCAUUGAGUGGGGGAUAACGUAGCGAAAGUUACGCUAAUACCGCAUAUUCUCUCCGGAGGAAAGCAGGGGACCGCAAGGCCUUGCGCUCUUUGAGCGGCCGAUAUCAGAUUAGCUAGUUGGUGGGGUAAAAGCUCACCAAGGCGACGAUCUGUAGCGGGUCUGAGAGGAUGAUCCGCCACACUGGAACUGAGACACGGUCCAGACUCCUACGGGAGGCAGCAGUGGGGAAUUUUGGACAAUGGGGGCAACCCUGAUCCAGCCAUGCCGCGUGAGUGAAGAAGGCCUUCGGGUUGUAAAGCUCUUUCGGCCGGGAAAAAAUCGCAUGGGUUAAUACCCUGUGUGGAUGAUGGUACCGGAAUAAGAAGCACCGGCUAACUACGUGCCAGCAGCCGCGGUAA
This 500-nucleotide ribosomal RNA is filed under the name uncultured bacterium. RNAcentral describes it as "partial 16S ribosomal RNA". It matches the Rfam family "Bacterial small subunit ribosomal RNA", at positions 30 to 523 of the family's 1533-position model. The record is from RNAcentral.